AUGCUCACUUCAGCAGCACAUAUACUCGAAAGCUGGAACGACACAGAGAAAAUUAACACGGCCCCUGAAACAGUGACAGGCAAAAUCGUAAAGCAUUCCAUAUUAAG
This is a small nuclear RNA of Sorex fumeus (smoky shrew), 107 nucleotides long. NCBI's taxonomy places the organism in Eukaryota, Metazoa, Chordata, Mammalia, Eulipotyphla, Soricidae. The record is from RefSeq and is a predicted model, not a curated record.